UUGUAGGAUGUCUCAUUUGCUUGGCAUGAUACAAUCCAGUUGGAGAUGUUAAAACUGGUGCAACCGUCGCGUGAAUCUGGCAUUGAUUCUGCCAGUGUUCCAAAAAAGCCCCAACAGGAAUUUCUAUGUUGUCCAUGAUGUGGAAACUUAUGAUAUGUCGACAUGGAAGAAAAUAA
This is a long non-coding RNA of Daphnia magna, 176 nucleotides long. RefSeq lists it as uncharacterized. The record is from RefSeq and is a predicted model, not a curated record. The transcript is spliced from 2 exons. Lineage: Eukaryota; Metazoa; Arthropoda; Branchiopoda; Diplostraca; Daphniidae.